UACGUAGGGUGCGAGCGUUGUCCGGAAUUACUGGGCGUAAAGGGUGCGUAGGUGGUUUGUUAAGUCUGCUGUGAAAUCCCCGGGCUCAACCUGGGAAUGGCAGUGGAUACUGGCAAGCUAGAGUGCGGUAGAGGGUAGUGGAAUUCCCGGUGUAGCAGUGAAAUGCGUAGAGAUCGGGAGGAACACCAGUGGCGAAGGCGGCUACCUGGACCAGCACUGACACUGAAGCACGAAAGCGUGGGGAGCAAACAGG
RNAcentral lists this ribosomal RNA (253 nucleotides) under uncultured bacterium. RNAcentral describes it as "partial 16S ribosomal RNA". It matches the Rfam family "Bacterial small subunit ribosomal RNA", at positions 524 to 776 of the family's 1533-position model. The record is from RNAcentral.